Molecule: ribosomal RNA, 253 nt
Filed under: uncultured bacterium
Lineage: Bacteria
Description: partial 16S ribosomal RNA
Rfam family: Bacterial small subunit ribosomal RNA
Source: RNAcentral
UAAGGAGGGUGCAGGCGUUGUUCGGAAUCACUGGGCGUAAAGCGCGUGUAGGCGGCUUGGCAAGUCGGGUGUGAACUCCCGAGGCUCAGCCUCGGAGCUGCACUGGAAACUGCCUGGCUCGAGUCCCGGAGAGGGUGGCUGAAUUCCCGGUGUAGGGGUGAAAUCCGUAGAUAUGGGGAGGAGCACCAGUGGCGAAGGCGGCCACCUGGACGGUGACUGACGCUGAUGCACGAAAGCGUGGGGAGCAAACAGG